GGCAGGGAUGCGAUGGCGGAGUCGCUGCCCCUGGAGAUGCUCACAUAUAUUCUGAGCUUCCUGCCUCUGUCAGAUCAGAAAGAGGCCUCCCUCGUGAGUUGGGCUUGGUACCGUGCUGCCCAGAAUGCCCUUCGGGAGCAACCAGGCCUUACCUCCCUGGACCUCAGUGGCUGCUCAGAACUGACUGAUGGGGCGCUCUUGGCCGUGAGCCGGGGCCUGCGGCACCUGCGGCGCCUGAGCCUGGGGAAGCUGCAGCGGCUGACAGAUGCAGGAUGUACAGCUCUGGGUGGCCUGCAGGAGCUGCAGAGCCUCGACAUGGCCGAGGGCGGGAACUGGCCCAGGCCCUGGGCUGUAUGCACGGGGCUCCAUCCCAGCUGGCCUCCCUCAGCCUGGCCCACUGCUCUUCAUUGAAGUCACGCCCAGAGCUGGAGCAUCAGGCCUCAGGUACCAAGGACGCCUGUCCAGAGCCACAGGGCCCCUCCCUGCUCACGCUGCGGGCCCUGCAGGAGUUGGACCUCACAGCCUGCAGCAAGCUGACUGAUGCCAGUUUAGCCAAGGUGCUCCAGUUUCUCCAGCUGAGGCAGCUGUCCCUUAGCCUGUUGCCAGAACUCACAGACAACGGCUUGGUUGCUGUGGCCAGGGGCUGUCCUAGCCUGGAGCACUUGGCGCUGAGUCACUGCAGCCGACUCAGUGACAAGGGCUGGGCCCAGGCAGCCAGCUCCUGGCCAAGGCUGCAGCAUCUCAACCUGUCCAGCUGCAGUCAGCUCAUAGAGCAGACACUGGAUGCUAUUGGGCAGGCGUGCAGGCAGCUCCGGGUGUUGGAUGUGGCCACGUGCCCUGGCAUCAACAUGGCCGCCGUCAGACGCUUCCAAGCCCAGCUGCCCCAGGUGUCCUGUGUCCAGUCCCGCUUCGUGGGAGGGGCUGACCUGACCCUAACACUCUGAGGCCAGGUCAGUAACCAGCCCUGCAGCACAGCCUCCUUGACUCCCCCAGUCUCCAACCCUGGCCUUGACCCGGGUUGCUUUUUGCCUCCCUCUACUGCAGACCCUCUAGGACUGGGGGUGGGGCCAAUCCAGGGCAGCCCAGAGGGAACAUCCUGCCACACCGCCUGGCAGUAGCCUCUUUCCAGCUACACGUCGCUGCCACAGGCCCCUGGAAAUGCUACCUACGUGUUGCCGCCACAGGCUCCUGCUCUCUGGCCAAGCCCUGGGUGGGAGGCCAGGCCCCCAGCGGGCAGGGUCUGGUGCUGGGAGGAGCAGAGCCUCUGCCUCUUGCCUGCCCUCCUCUCAGACCUAAGGCCGGGCUCCACCUACUCCUGUGGGACUCUCCCAGCACCCUGUGUGCACUGAGCUUCAGCAGCUGAGCCUAGGUCUGUGCUGUAAAUCCUAAGAUUAAACAUUCCAGAUAGUA
Homo sapiens (human) is the source of this 1410-nucleotide long non-coding RNA. Ensembl annotates it as F-box and leucine rich repeat protein, pseudogene. Its record names the gene FBXL9P. The record is from Ensembl. NCBI's taxonomy places the organism in Eukaryota, Metazoa, Chordata, Mammalia, Primates, Hominidae.